UUAGAGUUUGAUCAUGGCUCAGGACGAACGCUGGCGGCGUGCCUAAUACAUGCAAGUCGAACGCGUCCCGGUUGAUGAAGUUGAGUGCUUGCACUUGAUUGAUUCAACUUGGUGACGAGUGGCGAACUGGUGAGUAACACGUGGGUAACCUGCCCCGAAGCGGGGGAUAACAUUUGGAAAUAGGUGCUAAUACCGCAUAACAACCAAAACCUCCUGGUUUUGGUUUAAAAGACGGCUUCGGCUGUCACUUUGGGAUGGACCCGCGGCGUAUUAGCUAGUUGGUGAGGUAACGGCUCACCAAGGCGAUGAUACGUAGCCGACCUGAGAGGGUAAUCGGCCACAUUGGGACUGAGACACGGCCCAAACUCCUACGGGAGGCAGCAGUAGGGAAUCUUCCACAAUGGACGCAAGUCUGAUGGAGCAACGCCGCGUGAGUGAUGAAGGGUUUCGGCUCGUAAAACUCUGUUGUUGGAGAAGAACGGGUGUCGGAGUAACUGUUGACAUCGUGACGGUAUCCAGCCAGAAAGCCACGGCUAACUACGUGCCAGCAGCCGCGGUAAUACGUAGGUGGCAAGCGUUGUCCGGAUUUAUUGGGCGUAAAGCGAGCGCAGGCGGUUUUUUAGGUCUGAUGUGAAAGCCUUCGGCUUAACCGGAGAAGUGCAUCGGAAACCGGGAGACUUGAGUGCGGAAGAGGACAGUGGAAUUCCAUGUGUAGCGGUAAAAUGCGUAGAUAUAUGGAAGAACACCAGUGGCGAAGGCGGCUGUCUGGUCUGCAACUGACGCUGAGGCUCGAAAGCAUGGGUAGCGAACAGGAUUAGAUACCCUGGUAGUCCAUGCCGUAAACGAUGAGUGCUAAGUGUUGGAGGGUUUCCGCCCUUCAGUGCUGCAGCUAACGCAUUAAGCACUCCGCCUGGGGAGUACGACCGCAAGGUUGAAACUCAAAGGAAUUGACGGGGGCCCGCACAAGCGGUGGAGCAUGUGGUUUAAUUCGAUGCUACGCGAAGAACCUUACCAGGUCUUGACAUCU
RNAcentral lists this ribosomal RNA (1027 nucleotides) under uncultured bacterium. RNAcentral describes it as "bacterial SSU rRNA". It matches the Rfam family "Bacterial small subunit ribosomal RNA", at positions 1 to 989 of the family's 1533-position model. The record is from RNAcentral.